UUUUCUCUUCGGAGACACGGUGACAGGUGCUGCAUGGCCGUCGUCAGCUCGUGUCGUGAGAUGUUUGGUUAAGUCCAGCAACGAGCGCAACCCCUGUUGUCAGUUACCAGCACAUAAUGGUGGGGACUCUGGCAAGACUGCCCAGAUCAACUGGGAGGAAGGUGGGGACGACGUCAGGUCAGUAUGGCCCUUAUGCCUUGGGCUGCACACGUACUACAAUGCCCAGUACAGAGGGAAGCCAACCCGCGAGGGUGAGCAGAUCCCGAAAAGUGGGCCCAGUUCGGAUUGGAGGCUGCAACUCGCCUCCAUGAAGCCGGAAUCGCUAGUAAUGGCAGAUCAGCUACGCUGCCGUGAAUACGUUCCCGGGUC
This 369-nucleotide ribosomal RNA is filed under the name Akkermansia sp. RNAcentral's name for it is "bacterial SSU rRNA". It matches the Rfam family "Bacterial small subunit ribosomal RNA", at positions 1012 to 1380 of the family's 1533-position model. Lineage: Bacteria; Pseudomonadati; Verrucomicrobiota; Verrucomicrobiia; Verrucomicrobiales; Akkermansiaceae. The record is from RNAcentral.